GCUUGUUUUUAUUAUUAUUUUUUUCAAUUUUUUUAUCCUAUUAUCUAUUUAUUUAUUUUUUGUUUGUUUGUUUGUUUACAGGGUGUGUGUGUGUUUGUUUGUGUUCCUGCUGUUCAAUAUUGCAGCUUGUUUUCUUUAUUAUUGUUAUUUUGUGUUUUAUUCUAUUUCAGUGUUCUGAGGGAGUCUUCAGGUGUUUUUGGGGUGUUUUGGGGUGUUUUUGGAGUGUUUUGGGGUGUUUUUGGUGUGUUGUGAAGUGUUUUGAUGUGUUUUGGGGUGGUUAAGGGGUGUUUUGAAGUGGUUUGUGGUGUUGUGGAGGUGUUUUGGGAUUUUUGGUGUGUUUUAAAGUGUUUUGGGAUGUUUUUGGAAUGUUUUGAUGUGUUUUGAGAUGUUUAGGAGUAUUUUUGGAGUAUUUUGGUGUGUUUUUGGAGUGUUUUGGGAUGUGUUUGUAGUGUUUUGGGGUGUUUUGGGGUAUUUUGAAGGUGUUUUGGUGUGUUUUUGGAGUGUUUUGGGGUAUUUUGGGAUGUUUUGGUGUGUUUUGGGUUAUUUUGAGAGUGUUUUGGUGUGUUUUUGGAGUGUUUCUGGGUGUUUUGGAGUAUUUUGAGGGUGUUUAAAGGUGUUGUGGUAGUUUAAAAUAUAUUGUUAGUUUACUUUUUUUUAACUUUUUAUUUUCUUAUGCAUUAUUUUAUUUCUUAUUUAUAUUGUGGUGUGUUGUCGGUGUGUCCUAACCUAACCUAACCAGCCUACCCUCUCCUAACCUCCCCUCAACCCACAGGCACUGAUUGGCGUGACAUUCAGCAUAGGCUUCACCGUCGGGCACACUGUGGGGGCUGCGUUCUCCCGCUGGGGAAGUACUGGGUGGUUCGCGGCCUCGGCUGUCUACGCACGCACUCUCACUGUGGCUAACAUAAUAUUCUUUGCUGUCUUCUUCCAGGAAUCGCUGCCUGAGGGCAGAAGGAGGAGGGACAUCGGUGCCAGUUUGACCGAGGCUUGGGAGGUGAUCAAUCCUAGGGCUCUGUUCUCCAUCAGCUGUGUCAAGGGCCUGGGCAGAGAAGCCUGGAGUUAACGCUGAUCUUCGCGACCCACCACAAGCAUAGUUACGACUCGUUGGCGCAGGACCGCAAGUUUUCCUUCCUGGGCCUGGUCAUGGCAAUUACACAGAGAGGGUUUAUGCGAAGUGUUAAGACUGGAACUGAAAAAGCACCUGCCAAUUAGGCACACACCUACAUUGUGAUGCAGCUCCUUGGAGGUGGAGAGCUGGCUGCCUCAGAGGAUCAGGAAACACGAGAGGUUCACAGAGGCUCGCCUCGGGCUUCGGUCGUCGUGAGGAACCUGGUGUCAGCAGUUCACUACGUGCACAGGAAAAGCAUCAGUGUUCACGGAGACCUAAAGCCAGACAGGGGUGAAAAGGGUUGGUGUUGAGGAUAGACAGAAAAGAAAAGAAAGGAAAGGUAAAAAAAGGAAGUUUUUUUGCAUUGAUUUUCCAUCUGCUUAUUUUAAAGAAUUUAUUGCAUGGAAUAUUAUUGAUCUCCAUCAUUUGUAUGGCCUUUAUAAUAAAAAGUAUGAAUUUA
This is a long non-coding RNA of Scylla paramamosain (green mud crab), 1568 nucleotides long. RefSeq lists it as uncharacterized. The record is from RefSeq and is a predicted model, not a curated record. NCBI's taxonomy places the organism in Eukaryota, Metazoa, Arthropoda, Malacostraca, Decapoda, Portunidae. The transcript is spliced from 4 exons.